This 871-nucleotide ribosomal RNA is filed under the name Staphylococcus epidermidis. RNAcentral's name for it is "bacterial SSU rRNA". It matches the Rfam family "Bacterial small subunit ribosomal RNA", at positions 70 to 925 of the family's 1533-position model. The record is from RNAcentral. Lineage: Bacteria; Bacillati; Bacillota; Bacilli; Caryophanales; Staphylococcaceae.
GACGAGGAGCUUGCUCCUCUGACGUUAGCGGCGGACGGGUGAGUAACACGUGGAUAACCUACCUAUAAGACUGGGAUAACUUCGGGAAACCGGAGCUAAUACCGGAUAAUAUAUUGAACCGCANGGUUCAAUAGUGAAAGACGGUUUUGCUGUCACUUAUAGAUGGAUCCGCGCCGCANUAGCUAGUUGGUAAGGUAACGGCUUACCAAGGCAACGAUGCGUAGCCGACCUGAGAGGGUGAUCGGCCACACUGGAACUGAGACACGGUCCAGACUCCUACGGGAGGCAGCAGUAGGGAAUCUUCCGCAAUGGGCGAAAGCCUGACGGAGCAACGNCGCGUGAGUGAUGAAGGUCUUCGGAUCGUAAAACUCUGUUAUUAGGGAAGAACAAAUGUGUAAGUAACUAUGCACGUCUUGACGGUNCCUAAUCAGAAAGCCACGGCUAACUACGUGCCANCAGCCGCGGUAAUACNUAGGUGGCAAGCGUUAUCCGGAAUUAUUGGGCGUAAAGCGCGCGUAGGCGGUUUUUUAAGUCUGAUGUGAAAGCCCACGGCUCANCCGUGGAGGGUCAUUGGAAACUGGAAAACUUGAGUGCAGAAGAGGAAAGUGGAAUUCCAUGUGUAGCGCUGAAAUGCGCAGAGAUAUGGAGGAACACCAGUGGCGAAGGCGACUUUCUGGUCUGUAACUGACGCUGAUGUGCGAAAGCGUGGGGAUCAAACAGGAUUAGAUACCCUGGUAGUCCACGCCGUAAACGAUGAGUGCUAAGUGUUAGGGGGUUUCCGCCCCUUAGUGCUGCAGCUAACGCAUUAAGCACUCCGCCUGGGGAGUACGACCGCAAGGUUGAAACUCAAAGGAAUNGACGGGGACCCGCA